This 670-nucleotide small RNA is filed under the name human gut metagenome. The record is from RNAcentral.
UACUGAACAGCGGCGCAGUAUCCUAGUCAGAUCUGCCGUCUCCUAAGAAGGGCCUAAAAAUCCUUUAAAGGGCACAACUGUGAAACCUCUGGUGCUUGCUUCUUACGCCCAGUUUGGGGUGGGUGCUGGAGGGAGGCGUGCGAAAUGCCCGCCUGCGGAUGUAGGGCGCCCCUCAAUGGCAUGAGGGACCCGACCCUGCUUCCGUGGAGACCUGCUGUUGUGCACAGGCGUACUCCCCCUGUGGUAAGCGACCUGUGUACGAGGCAGUUGACGUCAUCGACCCCGAUGGCAAGAAACCUGCAUCGCGGUGCUACCCGGCCUUUGUGCCGUGAACGCUGUGUGCAGAGUAGCCUGCCUUGCGUGGGCACGGUGAAUAGGGGAGCUGAAGCACCAAAGACCCCGGCCAGGGUCCGCGUGCGAUUCCCUUGAAACCCUGCCUGCAAAAGAGGAUAAGAGGCGGCGUGACUGCAGUGGAAAUCACCUAGGCUGUCCAUUUCUGUGGGGCCUUGGGAGGAUUGCAGUGCGGACUAAGUGGCAGUCGGGUAUCACGACGCGGCAACGCCGUGAUACAGCACCUAAGGGGAAACCACCUGAUCGGCGACGAGAGGCGUGCUGUGGGGAAAUCCAACCCGUACCUAAGCCGCAAGAUUUACUCCCAAUGCUGCCCUGU